AAAGCGUGCGCAGGCGGUUUUGUAAGACUGUCGUGAAAUCCCCGGGCUCAACCUGGGAAUGGCGAUGGUGACUGCAAGGCUAGAGUUUGGCAGAGGGGGGUAGAAUUCCACGUGUAGCAGUGAAAUGCGUAGAUAUGUGGAGGAACACCGAUGGCGAAGGCAGCCCCCUGGGUCAAAACUGACGCUCAUGCACGAAAGCGUGGGGAGCAAACAGGAUAAGAUACCCCUGU
Molecule: ribosomal RNA, 230 nt
Filed under: uncultured bacterium
Lineage: Bacteria
Description: partial 16S ribosomal RNA
Rfam family: Bacterial small subunit ribosomal RNA
Source: RNAcentral